Phragmites australis (common reed) is the source of this 1402-nucleotide RNA transcript. It is a transcript of the gene named serine/arginine-rich splicing factor SR30-like, with no coding region annotated. The record is from RefSeq and is a predicted model, not a curated record. The transcript has 15 exons. NCBI's taxonomy places the organism in Eukaryota, Viridiplantae, Streptophyta, Magnoliopsida, Poales, Poaceae.
UACAAUCGAAAUACUGUAGCAAUGAAAACAAUGAGCAGGCGCAACAGCCGCAUCAUCUAUGUAGGCAACCUCCCUGGGGACAUCCGUGAGAGGGAGGUAGAGGAUCUCUUCUACAAGUACGGAAGGAUUUUGGAUAUCGACUUGAAGAUUCCUCCAAGACCUCCUGGUUAUGCUUUUGUUGAGUUUGAGGAUCCCCGUGAUGCUGAUGAUGCGAUCUAUGGGCGUGAUGGGUAUAACUUUGAUGGCUACAGGUUGCGGGUUGAAUUAGCUCAUGGUGGAAGAGGUCAGUCUUACUCUUAUGAUCGUCCAAGCAGCUAUAGCAGUGUACACCGUGGAGGUGUUUCUAGGCGCUCUGAUUAUCGCGUUAUGGUCACUGGUUUACCUUCAUCAGCAUCGUGGCAAGAUCUGAAGGACCAUAUGCGACGCGCCGGCGAUGUCUGUUUCUCUGAUGUAUACCGUGAGGCGGGAGAAACUAUUGGUAUUGUGGAUUAUACAAACUAUGACGACAUGAAAUAUGCGAUUAAGAAGCUUGAUGAAUCGCAGUUCAGAAAUGCAUUUUCACGGGCUUGUAUCAGAGUGAGGGAGUAUGAUGCUAUAUCACGAAGCAGGAGCCGUAGUCGCUCGUACUCGAGAAGUCCCAGUUACAGCAGGAGCAGGAGUCCAAAAUAUGUUUCUCGGUCACCCUCGCCUGUGCAUGAAAGGUUUGCUUCUGUUUUUCCUAGAUCUGGCCAUGCAGCGAUCUGGGGACUGCAUUGCUAGAAUAUUGGAUCUGUUUGAGAAUCAGAGAGGAUGUUUUGGAACUUGGGAUAGUAGAGCUGGAUGGUGAUGCAUGCCUGACAGUAAGGAUACGCGAAGUGGAUCUUAUGAUCCCUAUCAAGGUCUCAAUCCCCUGCUUCUUCUCCUUCUCGUGGAAGAUCUGUGAGCAGAAGCAGGAGCAGGAGCUUAUCCCCUUCUCGUUCUCCUGUGAGAUCUGAUUGAACUUGGAUACCAUUGAAGCAGUGAGCAACUAUCCAGAUAGGGGAACAUGAGAAGAACAUGGAUUACGAUAACGAUGUUCUUGGUGACUCCAUUGUUGCCACUGCUCUCCCUCACUUGGGAGGGCGCCUUUUAUUUAGUGCUUAAUAAUUAUAUCAUGUUAUGAAAGAGAGCCUCAUGCGUAGCAUGCUUGUGUAAACUGAACUUGUGCGUUCUAGCAGUCAUGCGUAGCAUGCGGAGGAUAAUCUGUACUUUGUGGUGGCUUGUCUUACCGUAAGUUCAUUGCUGCUGUAUGCAUCGCAGCUCAUUUGAUUGCUGGUAUACCUUUUAUCAGUAGUUUGGCCAGUACACAGUUAUAUGGUUUCAGUGUGCUACUGGUAUAUUGUUUAAAUGUUAUGAAUUUUUUUGGGCUUGUUUGGGGCAUGUA